CCUAGCCUAACCAAAAUCCUAGGAUUAAUACUCCUGGUUGGUACCAUAUCUUAAAUCAACUAUAAUGUUGUCACUUGACUCAACUUAAUUGUAAUUAGUCCAUCUGAAUAAUCGUUUGACACAUUCUGAUCCACCAUGCCAUUUAUAUAUAUAAAAAACAGUGCAAUCUUUCCUGCUAUUGUAUGACAUACCACUGCUUUAUCUUGCUUUAUC
Pelobates cultripes (western spadefoot toad) is the source of this 213-nucleotide non-coding RNA. NCBI's taxonomy places the organism in Eukaryota, Metazoa, Chordata, Amphibia, Anura, Pelobatidae. The record is from the annotation of a GenBank genome assembly.